RNAcentral lists this non-coding RNA (211 nucleotides) under Corchorus capsularis. RNAcentral's name for it is "Bacterial large subunit ribosomal RNA". It matches the Rfam family "Bacterial large subunit ribosomal RNA", at positions 629 to 837 of the family's 2925-position model. The record is from Rfam by way of RNAcentral. Lineage: Eukaryota; Viridiplantae; Streptophyta; Magnoliopsida; Malvales; Malvaceae.
CGCGACUGUGGCUUGGUUAGGGGAAUCCACCAGAGCCGUAGCGAAAGCGAGUCUUCAUAGGACAAUUGUCACUGCUUAUGGAUCCAAACCUGGAUGAUCUAUCCAUGACCAGGAUAAAAUUUGGGUGAAAUUAAGUGGAGGUUCGAACUGACUGAUGUUGAAAAAUCAGCGGAUGAAUUGUGGUUAAGGGGUAACACAAUUUUAUAAUAAA